RNAcentral lists this ribosomal RNA (491 nucleotides) under uncultured bacterium. RNAcentral describes it as "partial 16S ribosomal RNA". It matches the Rfam family "Bacterial small subunit ribosomal RNA", at positions 29 to 506 of the family's 1533-position model. The record is from RNAcentral.
AGUGAACGCUGGCGGUAGGCCUAACACAUGCAAGUCGAACGGCAGCACAGUAAGAGCUUGCUCUUACGGGUGGCGAGUGGCGGACGGGUGAGGAAUACAUCGGAAUCUACUUUUUCGUGGGGGAUAACGUAGGGAGACUUACGCUAAUACCGCAUACGACCUACGGGUGAAAGCAGGGGAUCUUCGGACCUUGCGCGAUUGAAUGAGCCGAUGUCGGAUUAGCUAGUUGGCGGGGUAAAGGCCCACCAAGGCGACGAUCCGUAGCUGGUCUGAGAGGAUGAUCAGCCACACUGGAACUGAGACACGGUCCAGACUCCUACGGGAGGCAGCAGUGGGGAAUAUUGGACAGUGGGCGCAAGCCUGAUCCAGCCAUACCGCGUGGGUGAAGAAGGCCUUCGGGUUGUAAAGCCCUUUUGUUGGGAAAGAAAAGCAGCAGGUUAAUACCCCGCUGUUCUGACGGUACCCAAAGAAUAAGCACCGGCUAACUUCGU